AAGGCUGGUGCCUGGCCUCAGGAACUGGCUGCACCUGUGGGCCUGCUCAGGAAGGAGCUAUAAAGCCUGGCUGGCAGCCAGUGCAAGGGGGGAUGGCCAGGGAAGGGUUAGUCUCCAGAGAGAAGGGAGAAACCCUGUAAAGAGGAGAAAAGCCUGUAAAGUUUGUAUAUAGUAUUGCUGGUGGUGGGAACUAUUCUGUAAAUAAAUCACGGGUGCUGCAAAAGAGAAGCCUGACAGAGCUUUAUUAAAGGAGCCCAGAGCACCAGGGAGGCAGGCCAGGAAAGGACCCGGUUACACGUGGGGGCUUGUCCGGGAUCCUUGUUAUCCAAGCCAUAGACACAGUGUGGCAGCCUGAGUAUGGAAGGCACCCUGCAAUGGCUCGCAGAGCAGCAGUCUGAACUGGGGAAGACACUGCAGUCUUUCAAGGAGUCCCACCAUGUGGAGCGGCAGGCCCUCCUCGCCUGGCAAGCUGAACAACAAAAAGCCCUCCAGGACUUCAUCAAGGAGCAGUCGGCAGUGCAGCAGCAGCUCCUGCAGCGUCUGAUCAUUAAUAAGGAUGGCGUACUGUGCGGUCCUAUGGCAUCAUCCUUUCUGUUCUUGACUCAAACCGCUGAGCUGGAGAAACACAAUCUAACCCAUCUGGGGAAAGCAAUGUGCAGCAGGGCCUUGUCAGCUUGAGGCAGCGUGAGCAGGAGACACGUGAAUGGGAAAGGAAUGACUUAUGUAUUGCUGUACUUUCGUAAGUCAAAGGACAAGAAGUCACAAGUUAUGACGAGGAAAACAACAGGCCGCAAUAGUCAAGAGAACCCUGAAGAGUCUUAGCUGUUUACCUAAACAGAGAGUUGAAAUAAUCUCAAGACAAUCAUAAUCCCUGUUAUUACCUCAGUGUUGCUUAUUUGGGAAGGACACAGACUUGUGGACUUGACUAAAAAAUCAUGUCCUAGAAGAAGAACCCCAAAGUGGGCCAAGAGUCAAACUGACCUAACUCAGUUGGAAUUGGACAAUGCAGUUGGGGUGAAACUUGUGAUCCACUGAUUUGGUCAGAAGAUCAGAGGAGAAAUCCUGUGGGACAAUACCACCCUGAGUUUCACAAAUGAAAAAACACAUAAAUGAGGAAGAAGCGUGUUCCUCUCAAGGUCACCAUGACAACAACUUGAUGGCUGAUACUCCUACUUCCCCUUCCAGGGAAAGGAGAGGCAAAGACAUCACAGACCAGCCAGAUGAUCUAAGAACAACAUCUGCUAGCAUGAUGGUAUUUGAGCCAGAAGACAUUGCCUGGUUUCCCCAAACUGUAGUUCCUGACCAAAUCUGAAGCUCCACAGACAAGCAAGCUAAAGAGCAGAUACUAUUUUUAAGUGACUUUAUUUUUUUUCCUCCUUAACAGGACAUUUUAACAUCUGUGCAAGGACACCUGAUAGGAAAGAACUUUUGUGGGAGAAUAAAAAGGAGAAGGCCAAAAGAAGGGAAAAGGAGCAGGAAACUAGACCCACUAAAGGAACUGGAGUCUUGGAGUGAACUGUGUGAAUUCUCUGGCUGAUCUUCUCUAAGCAGGGGAGAUCAUUCCACAUCUUUCCUAAUGCUGCUUGGGCCACGCAGAGUCUUUAUCAUUAAAAGCAGAGUUUACACACCUGGCUGCGGAUGCGGCACUAUUAUUCCCUGCUGAGCUCUGCUGAAUUUGAAAGUCUCUGAAAUAUAUUUUUGCAGGUACCACAAGGUGAAGUAUUUUUAGAUGGAACAUGAAUUAAUUCUGGAUAUAACUGAGUGUAGUUUUCCUCAUGGCCCAUUCCUCUUCUAAUAAGGCUUUCUUUUAUUCUGUUCAUCUUCUUACAUUGUGCCCAUCACCGUGGUAUCUGAGCACUUUCCUGUCUGUCAAAUUCAGUUCUUCUCCACUCUCCACCCCAGGGGAAACUAUGGGUAAUGUGCAUGAGGGUUAUUUUUCAUCUAGUAAGUUGGGGUUGCUCUGUGUGGCUCUUAGGAAAGGCAGCACAGUAUUUGGACUGGAACAGGGCAUGGUUACUGCUCAUUCUUGGUUCCUGCAGGACAGUGUCACAAUCAGAGGCCAAGCACUAUCAAAAGAUAGUUUAGCUGUGAGAUCUGCUCCCAUCUGUCACUAUGCUGGCCCUCCCUGCUAUUGCUAAUGGGCAUACCCCACUGCCCCAUCCUACAGCCUGGCUUCUGGCAAUCUAACAUUGCUAAGACUGUGUCUUUGCCUUUGGGAGAACAUUUCCUUCUGUGCAGAAGCUCAGUGUGAUGGAACAUGCUGUAGAUUAGAGUCACAAGGUGUAUCAAUAACACCUACAUGGGAAACGGCGGGACUGGAAGAGCCCUGGGGAAGAUGCUGCAGGGGACCGUCAGUGACAUGACAGAGUUCCCCUUUUCCAAUUUCUGUAAUCCUGUGACACAUGCAAACCACAUUGGCCCCAAUUUGGAGGUCCUGACUCUGUCUUUGUGCAAGUUUUACUCAGGCAAAGCUUCCUUUGACUCCAGCAUGGAUCCCCCCUGAAUAAAGACGUCAGGUUUGGGCCCAUUAUUAACUUCCAUGGAAGUUUCACCUUUAGAGCCAACACUGCCUAUGAGCCUGGCCCCACCUCUGCCCUGCAAGGAAUAUAAGCCCUUGGAUUCUAGUAGGAUGCAGACUCCACCAUGGAUGGAUAAUUGAGAAUCCUGGGAGGGUACAGGAGACUGUUAGCGGAUCCAUACCGUGCCA
Mauremys reevesii (Reeves's turtle) is the source of this 2707-nucleotide long non-coding RNA. RefSeq lists it as uncharacterized. The record is from RefSeq and is a predicted model, not a curated record. Lineage: Eukaryota; Metazoa; Chordata; Testudines; Geoemydidae. The transcript has 3 exons.